GAUGAACGCUAGCUACAGGCUUAACACAUGCAAGUCGAGGGGAAACGAUAUUGGAAGCUUGCUUCCGAUAGGCGUCGACCGGCGCACGGGUGAGUAACGCGUAUCCAACCUGCCCAUCACUUGGGGAUAACCUUGCGAAAGUAAGACUAAUACCCAAUGACGUCUCUAGAAGACAUCUGAAGGAGAUUAAAGAUUUAUCGGUGAUGGAUGGGGAUGCGUCUGAUUAGCUUGUUGGCGGGGUAACGGCCCACCAAGGCGACGAUCAGUAGGGGUUCUGAGAGGAAGGUCCCCCACAUUGGAACUGAGACACGGUCCAAACUCCUACGGGAGGCAGCAGUGAGGAAUAUUGGUCAAUGGGCGAGAGCCUGAACCAGCCAAGUAGCGUGCAGGAAGACGGCCCUAUGGGUUGUAAACUGCUUUUAUAAGGGAAUAAAGUGGGAGUCGUGACUCCUUUUGCAUGUACCUUAUGAAUAAGGACCGGCUAAUUCCGUGCCAGCCGCCGCGGUAA
This 508-nucleotide ribosomal RNA is filed under the name uncultured bacterium. RNAcentral describes it as "partial 16S ribosomal RNA". It matches the Rfam family "Bacterial small subunit ribosomal RNA", at positions 28 to 523 of the family's 1533-position model. The record is from RNAcentral.